CCUACGGGUGGCAGCAGUGGGGAAUAUUGCACAAUGGGGGAAACCCUGAUGCAGCGACGCCGCGUGAGGGAAGAAGGAUCUCGGUACGUAAAGCUCUAUUAGCAGGGAAGAAAAUUACGGUACCUGACUCAGAAGCCCCGGCUAACUACGUGACAGCAGCCGCGGUAAUACGUAGGGGGCAAGCGUAAUCCGGAUUUACUGGGUGUAAAGGGAGCGGAGACGGCAGCACAAGUCUGGAGUGAAAUCCCGGGGCUUAACCCCGGAACUGCUUUGGAAACUGUGCGGAUGGAGUGCAGGAGGGGUAAGCGGAAUUCGUGGUGUAGCGGUGAAAUGCGUAGAUAUUAGGAGGAACACCGGUGGCGAAGGCGGCUUACUGGACUGUAACUGACGUUGAGGCUCGAAGGCGUGGGGAGCGAACAGGAUUAGAUACCCCAGUAGUC
RNAcentral lists this ribosomal RNA (440 nucleotides) under uncultured bacterium. RNAcentral describes it as "partial 16S ribosomal RNA". It matches the Rfam family "Bacterial small subunit ribosomal RNA", at positions 338 to 795 of the family's 1533-position model. The record is from RNAcentral.